GAUUUCUGGCCUGAAACCUCUUGCCGGCCACGGUUUCGUGUGUUAGUGCUUGAUGUUCGCGCCAUCCUUCCAAUCGCCUGCGCCCGCUCUUCAUUGGGUGGGCGCCGGUAUUGGAUCUUUUACUUUGAAAAAAUUAGAGUGUUUCAAGCAGGCUUUAUGCUAUGAAUACAUUAGCAUGGAAUAAUAAUUUAGGACUUCGGUUCUAUUUUGUUGGUUUCUAGGACUGAAGUAAUGAUUGAUAGGGAUAGUUGGGGGUGCUAGUAUUCAGCGGCCAGAGGUGAAAUUCUUGGAUUCGCUGAAGACUAACUUAUGCGAAAGCAUU
RNAcentral lists this ribosomal RNA (322 nucleotides) under Sandonidae sp. RNAcentral's name for it is "SSU rRNA". The stretch from base 103 to 322 matches the Rfam family "Eukaryotic small subunit ribosomal RNA", at positions 735 to 955 of the family's 1831-position model. RNAcentral also lists the same sequence under 1 other name. The record is from RNAcentral. Lineage: Eukaryota; Cercozoa; Glissomonadida; Sandonidae.